This 777-nucleotide ribosomal RNA is filed under the name uncultured Psychrobacter sp. RNAcentral's name for it is "bacterial SSU rRNA". It matches the Rfam family "Bacterial small subunit ribosomal RNA", at positions 68 to 838 of the family's 1533-position model. Lineage: Bacteria; Pseudomonadati; Pseudomonadota; Gammaproteobacteria; Moraxellales; Moraxellaceae. The record is from RNAcentral.
GGUAACAGGAGAAGCUUGCUUCUCGCUGACGAGCGGCGGACGGGUGAGUAAUACUUAGGAAUCUACCUAGUAGUGGGGGAUAGCACGGGGAAACUCGUAUUAAUACCGCAUACGACCUACGGGAGAAAGGGGGCAGUUUACUGCUCUCGCUAUUAGAUGAGCCUAAGUCGGAUUAGCUAGAUGGUGGGGUAAAGGCCUACCAUGGCGACGAUCUGUAGCUGGUCUGAGAGGAUGAUCAGCCACACCGGGACUGAGACACGGCCCGGACUCCUACGGGAGGCAGCAGUGGGGAAUAUUGGACAAUGGGGGAAACCCUGAUCCAGCCAUGCCGCGUGUGUGAAGAAGGCCUUUUGGUUGUAAAGCACUUUAAGCAGUGAAGAAGACUCCAUGGUUAAUACCCAUGGACGAUGACAUUAGCUGCAGAAUAAGCACCGGCUAACUCUGUGCCAGCAGCCGCGGUAAUACAGAGGGUGCAAGCGUUAAUCGGAAUUACUGGGCGUAAAGGGAGCGUAGGUGGCUCUAUAAGUCAGAUGUGAAAUCCCCGGGCUUAACCUGGGAACUGCAUCUGAAACUGUAGAGCUAGAGUAUGUGAGAGGAAGGUAGAAUUCCAGGUGUAGCGGUGAAAUGCGUAGAGAUCUGGAGGAAUACCGAUGGCGAAGGCAGCCUUCUGGCAUCAUAUUGACACUGAGGUUCGAAAGCGUGGGUAGCAAACAGGAUUAGAUACCCUGGUAGUCCACGCCGUAAACGAUGUCUACUAGUCGUUGGGUCCCUUGAGGA